CUGUGGGCUCUGCAAUGUUACGUGCCAUCUUUAUGUAUCCGCUCUCUCCCCAGCUUCCUCCCCAUGAGUUUCUCACAAUCCAGUAAUCCUUUCCGUCCUCAGUUCCGUAACCCACAGCUACAACUCCAUGGUCUAACUCCGUUCCACAGGUUCCAUCAAAUACACCCUGAAGUGAAAAAAGGCAAAUAAAAAUCUUAGCAUCUUGAAAUAUAUUUGCAAGUGUUUACUACGAAUAUAGCGUAACCAUUCUUUAAAUAUGUGAGAACGUGAAUAAAUAAAUAAAUGUUCUGAAUGGUAAACCAUUAAUCAUUAACGUUCCAUUGAUUCUUCUCAUGCUAACUAGUUACAAGUUCGGCUAUUUCAUACCGAAGAAUAGAGCUGGAAGGCACGACCACCAGCUUCAAUGGCAACACUAAUAGGCUGAUUAGCCAAAGCUUUCUUAAGAGCCGCCUCGUUGUUCUCCGGCACAUCCUCAUAACCGUCAAUUUUGACAACCUUUGCGUUUUUCUGCAAAACACGAGAAACAGAGGUGUUAAACCCAUUUCUAUUUGAUAUUAAUACCAAAAAACCUAAACCAACACACACUAGUUAACUUAACCCUGUUCUGAUCACAACGGCCAUCCGCAGCUUUGUAUGGAUAAUCCUCUUCAGUAUCAAUACCACCAUUUUUAAUAAUGAACUCAAACGCAUAGUCCAUCAAACCUCCAUUACAGCCUUGGUUGUAAGAUGUGUCACAAUCUACUAGUUCUUGUUCAGACAAAGAGAUUAAGUCUCCUGUCACAAUCUUGUUUAUUCCUUCCACAGCUCCAAUGGUUGAAAAUGCCCAACAACUCCCUAAAAACACGAGUUAAUUAAAUCAAAUUAGCCCCACCACUUGCUUUGAUUCUUGAAAAAGUGAAAAAUAUCGUAUGGGUCCAAAGACCAAAAUAGUUUCAAAGACCCCACAAACUUUAUCAGCAAUUCAAUAAAAGAUCACGACUUUCAGACCAAACAUCAUCAAUCGUUCCCCUAGAAGAACAGUUGUCGGGGGUAAAUUUGUCUUUAUGCAAAAGUUACAAGAUCUUUAUUUUUCUUAAGAUAUUUUUCCAAUAAAUUAUCAAAGAUAUAAUCAUUUUCAGAUUUGUAUAUCUCUAAUCGAAAAUCGGAAAAAGCUUACCGCAGCUUCCCUGAUCUUUGACGGCGGCGACGGCACCUUCUUUUCUCCAGUCAACGGAAGCAGGAAGCGCGUCGCCAACACGCGGCUCAUAUCGAUCGCUGGUUUUGAGAACUCUCUUCUUCGGUUUAGCACCGAGGUAGAUAGAUCGGUACUCAUCGUUGGUUAGAUCAGCGAACCGGGUUAAACCGAGUUUGUAACUGAGGUUUUUGUUGUUGUGUUCGUCGAUGAAACGAAGAUUGUCUUUGAAGAUCUCGAAUCUCUGAUCCGUGACAAGACCGUUGUUCUGCGUCAUCAUCUUCUUCUUUCCGUGUUUCUCCAUCCACUCCUCGUAGAUUUUUGAAACCUCGGCGUCGCUCCGGCCGUUGACGGCGGAGAUGUGGCGCUUCUCGUCGUAUGAGAUGAUCGACAUGUCGACAGCGUACGAAACGCCGAUCAUCAUCGCUAGGAGAAGGAUGGUUACAUUUACGAAGCCCAUUUUUUGAUAUUUAACAGAGAAAGAAGAAGACGAUUGGAUGAUUGAUAAGAGAUUGAUGAGGGUGUAUAUAAAGGAGAAUUUCAGUCGAGCGUCAUAAUUAAAUAUUAUUUACUUUUGUCUCACUUUUCGAAAUAUACUUUAAAGACAAUUAAAGAAAACCGGCUAAAAUUAUAAACAAAAGAAAUUGAAUACUUCUCAAAAUUUUAAAAUAUUGCAUCUAGAACAAAAACUAGUGAACAGAGUUAUUGCUCUUUUUAAUAAUUCCGUUCUCGGAAUUAUAUAUUUUUUACAUAUAACAAAAUCUCACUUUUCAAAACUUGAAAUUUUACUGAAUCUUCUGAAGUAUGUAAAAAGGAGAACUGAAUUUUAAAAAUACACUACAUCUCGAUCCUUUUGUUUUUAUUUAUUUUUAUAUAAACAUUUUGUUUUCAAUUCUAAAUUGGUAUAUAUUAUAAUAUAUAUAUGUUUAUCAAUUUUUAAAACAUAAUAAGUUUACACUAUAUUUUUUUCAUUGAAUAGAUUGUUUUAAACUUUCACAUGUAUUUGUAUCUUUUUCUAUAUAUAUAUAUAUUUUCGGAUUAUUAUUUCAAUAUUAAAAUCGUAACAAUAUAUAUAAAGAUUCAUAAAAUAUUGUUUUAAUAUCAUAUUCAAAAAUAUUGUAAUAUUUCACAAAUUUAGAAAGUUUUAAAAAAUUAAACUUUUCGCUUCAUAGAUUUAUAUUAUCGAGUAAAUAAUUAAACUUUUAGUUUUUGUUUAAUUUUUUAAAUAAACUGUAUAGUUUAAAAUUUGUUUUCAUUGGUUUAAGGUAGUAAAUAUUAAUAAUUGUUAGAUAAUAUGAUUUUUGUUAUUUAACUCCAUGGUCUAACUCCGUUCCACAGGUUCCAUCAAAUACACCCUGAAGUGAAAAAAGGCAAAUAAAAAUCUUAGCAUCUUGAAAUAUAUUUGCAAGUGUUUACUACGAAUAUAGCGUAACCAUUCUUUAAAUAUGUGAGAACGUGAAUAAAUAAAUAAAUGUUCUGAAUGGUAAACCAUUAAUCAUUAACGUUCCAUUGAUUCUUCUCAUGCUAACUAGUUACAAGUUCGGCUAUUUC
Molecule: long non-coding RNA, 2722 nt
Filed under: Brassica napus (rape)
Lineage: Eukaryota; Viridiplantae; Streptophyta; Magnoliopsida; Brassicales; Brassicaceae
Description: long non-coding RNA (BNAP_LNC011629)
Source: RNAcentral